CAGGGUUCGGCUGACUCGAACUAUUCCCAGCCGUCCUCCGACCUUUCGUUGGACGAGGAGAGGGAGAACCUUCGCCGUGAGACCGAACGACAGGCGCUUUCCCAGCUCGAGAAGGCCAGGGGGCACCAUCGGGACAGCGGGGUCAGGCGCAGAACAGAGGGCCAGGCAUUCGUCACUCUUCAGGCAGCCAGGACCAAACCCGUGGCGUUUUCCGUGCGCACCAAUGUGGCUUACGAUGGUUCUCUGGAUGACGACUCGCCGGUGCACGGGUCGGCCAUCUCUUUCGAGGUCAAGGACUUCCUCCACAUUAAGG
Molecule: long non-coding RNA, 313 nt
Filed under: Penaeus japonicus
Lineage: Eukaryota; Metazoa; Arthropoda; Malacostraca; Decapoda; Penaeidae
Description: uncharacterized LOC122247486
Source: RNAcentral